AGCCUUUUUCCAAAAUGGAUUAAAUUCAUUUUUUUCCUCAAACUUCUACUCACGACACCCCAUAAUGACAAGUUAUUAAAAAUAAAAAAACUAAAGAACUCAAGAUAGCCUCGCGGAUGGCUGCCUCGGUACUGCGUUCUCUCAUACGUUGUGCUUUUUGUGGUUUUUUGCACUCUGCUCUUAUUUGGUCUCUUACACCAGGGAAGAGCUCAUAAACAUUGGACUGUCAUGUGUUGGAACAUUUACACCUGUUUUCACUGAAGCAGGGAGUUUUACAGAUGUUUUGGUUGGAGGAGCAACAGCUCUGUAUGGAGUAUACAGAUCUGUAUGCUCAUCAUUCUGGGGGAUUUAACAGAGCAAAUCUCAGCCACAAACUCCAUAUAGACAGCACAUCAUGUGACCCACCAGGGAUGCGACCAUUCUUGACCACUGCUACACUAUAAUAAAGGACACCUAUCGCUCUGUCCCCCCUGCAGCACUGGGACUCUCUGAUCGCUGUCUGAUCUACCUCAUUGCUACCUACAGGCAGAAAUUAUAAUCUGCAAAGCCUGUAGUCAAGACGGUAAAGAAGUUGACGGAUGAGUCAUGGCAUGAGCUACAGUGCAGUCUGUUUUGACUUCACAGACUGCAGCAACUUUGAAGAGGAACAAAGAGGAGCUACUCUGAGAGGCUGAAAAACCAGUUCUGAGGCAAAGAUCCUGCGACAGUGUGGAGAGGUCUUCAGCAUGCCACCAACUACAGCAGACCAUCCCCAACCAUGUGGAGGACCCCUGACUGGCUGAGGAGCUGAACCUGUUUUACACCAGUCAAGGGUCACAGGGGGCUGGAGCCUAUCCCAGCAGUCAUGGGGCAAGAGUUCAUUCCCUGGAUACACAGAUUAUUAAUUAGGCAGAGAUCCCGAUCAUGACAGAGGAGACAGCACAGGGCCCCAGCACGCAGCUCACUCCCAGAGCCCAUUCUGCACCAUGUGGCUCACUUCAGGGAGGAAUGUUUUGAGGCCUGAUCCUGAAAAGAUCUUAAAUCACUGCUUGUCACAAACCAGGAAAGUUGCUGGAACGAUUGACUACCACAAGUUCAGAGUGAACCCUUUGAAUACAGAUGCACUUCAAAACUUCCAGUGAUGGAGCUGAACACUAAAACCUACAGUCCAGACAGAAAAAGGCAACAUCUCUGCUCUUCAACAUAUGAGGAAAGUGUCUCCAAAAACUCCACAAAGAGGCUGAAGCUGUAGAGGAGACCUUCAUGUGGUUAACUGUCCUGCCAGUCCAGCUCACCUGUCGUCUCUGCAAACUCACCUGCUGCUGCUCUUCAAAACAAAACGAAGGCUAUUUAAAGAGGAACUAUUUUACUCUUUCAAAAAGCCAUUUCCUUUUAGAUUUUGACAUAAAAUGAAUCAAACAUUAAACAUGAAGUCAAAGUUCAGUCAUUAAGACACUUGUGCUUGCACAGGUAGAAUUUGUGUAGAAUUUCAAAGCAUUCACAAUCACUAAAAUAGUGAAAUUCAUAUUUUUGUGUUGUACUCUAUAUUGAUUGCAACAUUAAAAACAAUGACAUAGUUAAUGAGGAUGGCAGUUAAAUUGUUGUGUGUUGGGGGGUUUGGCUGGACAUUUUGGUGUUGUUUUCUUUUCUUUG
Long non-coding RNA from Thalassophryne amazonica, 1632 nucleotides. RefSeq lists it as uncharacterized. The record is from RefSeq and is a predicted model, not a curated record. The transcript is spliced from 4 exons. NCBI's taxonomy places the organism in Eukaryota, Metazoa, Chordata, Actinopteri, Batrachoidiformes, Batrachoididae.